GGAGGGGGCGAGCGCUAUUCGGAUUUACUGGGCGUAAAGCGCACGUAGGCGGCUAGGUAUGUCAAAGGUGAAAGCCCUCGACUCAACCGAGGAACUGCCUUCGAAACUGCUUGGCUUGAGUCCGGGAGAGGGGAGCGGAAUUCCCAGUGUAGCGGUGAAAUCCGUAGAUAUCGGGAGGAACACCUGCGGCGAAGGCGGCUCUCUGGACGGUGACUGACGCUGAGACGCGAAAGCGUGGGGAGCAAACAGGAUUAGAUACCCUGGUAGUCCACGCCGUAAACGUUGCGCACUAGGUGUCGGGAGAUCCCACCCCUCUCGGUGCCCGACGCUAACGCAUUAAGUGCGCCGCCUGGGGAGUACGGUCGCAAGGCUG
Molecule: ribosomal RNA, 373 nt
Filed under: uncultured organism
Description: partial 16S ribosomal RNA
Rfam family: Bacterial small subunit ribosomal RNA
Source: RNAcentral